Molecule: ribosomal RNA, 96 nt
Filed under: uncultured bacterium
Lineage: Bacteria
Description: partial 16S ribosomal RNA
Source: RNAcentral
CCCUACGGGUUGUAAACUGCUUUUGUACCGGAAUAAACCUGAUCACGUGUGAUCAGCUGAAUGUACGGUAAGAAUAAGGAUCGGCUAACUCCGUGC